GCGUUUCCUACGCGGUCGGGCGUUGGGUUUCGCGGCCCUCGCCGCACUGGUUGCUCGGCACCUUCGGUCGGGUUGAGGUUGUCAAGCUGGACCAAUAGGUUGUUUCUCUUCAGUUUCCAACAUGGCAGGGAGGUUUAAUAGACAUGGAUAAGAAGUCCGCUCACAGAAAUCCUGAAGAUGCCAAGGCUGGCAAAUAUGAAGGUAAACACAAACGAAAGAAAAAAAGAAAGCAAAACCAAAACCAGCACCGAUCCCGACAUAGAUCAGUGACAUCUUUUUCUUCAGAUGAUCGUGUGUUUCCUUCUUCUUCAUCAUCAUCUUCAGGAAGCCAGACGGAUUUGAGUACUGAAGGACAAAAUAUGAAACACCAAGAAAGAGAAGGAAAAAAAGGAGGAAACAGCCACAUAUGUCACCUUUCCAAGGUAUCAUGUGUUUCAUGUUUAAGAAAUUUAUUUUGCAGUACUUUGGUAGUUGGUUUACUUUUUUUUUUUUCUUUUUUUGAGAUAGAGUCUCACUCUGUCGCCCAGGCUAAAGUGCGGUAA
RNAcentral lists this long non-coding RNA (542 nucleotides) under Macaca nemestrina (pig-tailed macaque). Its description in RNAcentral is "lncRNA (ENSMNEG00000045915.1)". The record is from RNAcentral. Lineage: Eukaryota; Metazoa; Chordata; Mammalia; Primates; Cercopithecidae.